Small nucleolar RNA from Triticum dicoccoides, 85 nucleotides. The record is from RefSeq and is a predicted model, not a curated record. Lineage: Eukaryota; Viridiplantae; Streptophyta; Magnoliopsida; Poales; Poaceae.
UGGAUGUGAUUUGAGUCUUACUCGCCCGUUUGAUUAAUUCAUGAAGUACAAGCGAAAAAAAGGUUGAUUUUCUUCAUGUGAGCCA